This 253-nucleotide ribosomal RNA is filed under the name uncultured bacterium. RNAcentral's name for it is "partial 16S ribosomal RNA". It matches the Rfam family "Bacterial small subunit ribosomal RNA", at positions 524 to 776 of the family's 1533-position model. The record is from RNAcentral.
UACAGAGGUGGCAAGCGUUGUUCGGAAUUACUGGGCGUAAAGGGCGCGUAGGCGGCCAUCUAAGUCAGACGUGAAAUCCCCCGGCUUAACCUGGGAACUGCGUCUGAUACUGGACGGCUUGAGUAUGGGAGAGGGAUGUAGAAUUCCAGGUGUAGCGGUGAAAUGCGUAGAUGUCUGGAGGAAUACCGGUGGCGAAGGCGGCAUCCUGGACCAUUACUGACGCUGAGGCGCGAAAGCUAGGGGAGCAAACGGG